RNAcentral lists this ribosomal RNA (542 nucleotides) under uncultured Pedobacter sp. RNAcentral describes it as "bacterial SSU rRNA". It matches the Rfam family "Bacterial small subunit ribosomal RNA", at positions 355 to 897 of the family's 1533-position model. Lineage: Bacteria; Pseudomonadati; Bacteroidota; Sphingobacteriia; Sphingobacteriales; Sphingobacteriaceae. The record is from RNAcentral.
UAAGGAAUAUUGGUCAAUGGAGGCAACUCUGAACCAGCCAUGCCGCGUGCAGGAAGACAGCCCUAUGGGUCGUAAACUGCUUUUAUGUCGGAAUAAACCUAGGUACGUGUACUUAGCUGAAUGUACGGCAAGAAUAAGGAUCGGCUAACUCCGUGCCAGCAGCCGCGGUAAUACGGAGGAUCCAAGCGUUAUCCGGAUUUAUUGGGUUUAAAGGGAGCGUAGGCGGCUUAUUAAGUCAGGGGUGAAAGACGGUGGCUCAACCAUCGCAGUGCCUUUGAUACUGAUGAGCUUGAAUGUAGUUGAGGUAGGCGGAAUGUGACAAGUAGCGGUGAAAUGCAUAGAUAUGUCACAGAACACCAAUUGCGAAGGCAGCUUACUAAACUAUGAUUGACGCUGAGGCUCGAAAGCGUGGGGAUCAAACAGGAUUAGAUACCCUGGUAGUCCACGCCCUAAACGAUGAUAACUCGAUGUUUGCGAUAUACAGUAAGCGUCCAAGCGAAAGCGUUAAGUUAUCCACCUGGGGAGUACGGUCGCAAGAUUGA